RNAcentral lists this ribosomal RNA (325 nucleotides) under uncultured Bacteroidota bacterium. RNAcentral describes it as "bacterial SSU rRNA". It matches the Rfam family "Bacterial small subunit ribosomal RNA", at positions 28 to 351 of the family's 1533-position model. The record is from RNAcentral. Lineage: Bacteria; Pseudomonadati; Bacteroidota.
GAUGAACGCUAGCGGCAGGCCUAAUACAUGCAAGUCGAACGGUAAAUAUUUUAGCAAUAGAAUAUGAGAGUGACGUACGGGUGCGUAACACGUAUGCAACCUACCCUUUACAGGAGGAUAGCUCGGGGAAACUCGAAUUAAGCCUUCAUAGAAUAAUUGGAUGGCAUCAUUUGAUUAUUAAAACUGAGGUGGUAAAGGAUGGGCAUGCGUCUGAUUAGUUAGUUGGCGGGGUAACGGCCCACCAAGACGAUGAUCAGUAGGGGAACUGAGAGGUUGAUCCCCCACACUGGCACUGAGAUACGGGCCAGACUCCUACGGGAGGCUG